This 461-nucleotide ribosomal RNA is filed under the name uncultured Bdellovibrio sp. Its description in RNAcentral is "bacterial SSU rRNA". It matches the Rfam family "Bacterial small subunit ribosomal RNA", at positions 29 to 505 of the family's 1533-position model. The record is from RNAcentral. Lineage: Bacteria; Pseudomonadati; Bdellovibrionota; Bdellovibrionia; Bdellovibrionales; Pseudobdellovibrionaceae.
AACAAACGCUGGCGGCGUGCCUAAUACAUGCAAGUCGAACGAGAAAGUUCCUUCGGGAGCGAGUACAGUGGCGCACGGGUGAGGAACACGUGGAUAAUCUGCCCUUCAGUGGGGAAUAACUAGCCGAAAGGUUAGCUAAUACCGCAUAAGACCACAGUAGCUGCGGCUACAGUGGUUAAAGAUUUAUCGCUGAAGGAUGAGUCCGCGUCCGAUUAGUUUGUUGGUGAGGUAAUGGCUCACCAAGACUACGAUCGGUAACUGGUCUGAGAGGAUGAUCAGUCACACUGGAACUGAGACACGGUCCAGACUCCUACGGGAGGCAGCAGUAGGGAAUAUUGCACAAUGGAGGAAACUCUGAUGCAGCGACGCCGCGUGAGUGAUGAAGGCCUUCGGGUUGUAAAGCUCUGUUCUAUGGGAAUAAGUUCUGAAGGUACCAUAGAAGAAAGGACCGGCUAACUUCG